UGAGUAACGCGUGGGUAACCUGCCUUAUACAGGGGGAGUAACAGUCAGAAAUGGCUGCUAAUACCGCAUAAGCGCACAGAGCUGCAUGGCUCAGUGUGAAAAACUCCGGUGGUAUAAGAUGGACCCGCGUUGGAUUAGCUUGUUGGCAGGGUAACGGCCUACCAAGGCGACGAUCCAUAGCCGGCCUGAGAGGGUGAACGGCCACAUUGGGACUGAGACACGGCCCAAACUCCUACGGGAGGCAGCAUGC
RNAcentral lists this ribosomal RNA (250 nucleotides) under uncultured bacterium. Its description in RNAcentral is "partial 16S ribosomal RNA". It matches the Rfam family "Bacterial small subunit ribosomal RNA", at positions 107 to 353 of the family's 1533-position model. The record is from RNAcentral.